Molecule: non-coding RNA, 83 nt
Organism: Zootoca vivipara (common lizard)
Lineage: Eukaryota; Metazoa; Chordata; Lepidosauria; Squamata; Lacertidae
Source: the annotation of a RefSeq genome assembly
GGCUGGCAGAGAAAGACUAGCUCAGUCGGUAGAGCAUGAGACUCUGAACCUCGGGGCUGUGGGUUCGAGUCCCACGUUGGGCA